This 743-nucleotide ribosomal RNA is filed under the name Klebsiella oxytoca. Its description in RNAcentral is "bacterial SSU rRNA". It matches the Rfam family "Bacterial small subunit ribosomal RNA", at positions 56 to 789 of the family's 1533-position model. The record is from RNAcentral. Lineage: Bacteria; Pseudomonadati; Pseudomonadota; Gammaproteobacteria; Enterobacterales; Enterobacteriaceae.
UGCAAGUCGAACGGUAGCACAGAGAGCUUGCUCUCGGGUGACGAGUGGCGGACGGGUGAGUAAUGUCUGGGAAACUGCCUGAUGGAGGGGGAUAACUACUGGAAACGGUAGCUAAUACCGCAUAACGUCGCAAGACCAAAGAGGGGGACCUUCGGGCCUCUUGCCAUCAGAUGUGCCCAGAUGGGAUUAGCUAGUAGGUGGGGUAACGGCUCACCUAGGCGACGAUCCCUAGCUGGUCUGAGAGGAUGACCAGCCACACUGGAACUGAGACACGGUCCAGACUCCUACGGGAGGCAGCAGUGGGGAAUAUUGCACAAUGGGCGCAAGCCUGAUGCAGCCAUGCCGCGUGUAUGAAGAAGGCCUUCGGGUUGUAAAGUACUUUCAGCGGGGAGGAAGGCGAUAAGGUUAAUAACCUUGUCGAUUGACGUUACCCGCAGAAGAAGCACCGGCUAACUCCGUGCCAGCAGCCGCGGUAAUACGGAGGGUGCAAGCGUUAAUCGGAAUUACUGGGCGUAAAGCGCACGCAGGCGGUCUGUCAAGUCGGAUGUGAAAUCCCCGGGCUCAACCUGGGAACUGCAUUCGAAACUGGCAGGCUGGAGUCUUGUAGAGGGGGGUAGAAUUCCAGGUGUAGCGGUGAAAUGCGUAGAGAUCUGGAGGAAUACCGGUGGCGAAGGCGGCCCCCCUGGACAAAGACUGACGCUCAGGUGCGAAAGCGUGGGGAGCAAACAGGAUUAGAUACCCUG